CACCUCUAGCAUCACUAGUAUUAGAGGCACUGCCUGCCCAGUGACACAUGUUAAACGGCCGCGGUAUCCUGACCGUGCAAAGGUAGCAUAAUCAUUUGUUCCUUAAAUAGGGACUUGUAUGAAUGGCUUAACGAGGGUUUAACUGUCUCUUACUUUCAAUCAGUGAAAUUGACCUUUCCGUGAAGAGGCGGAAAUAGCUAAAUAAGACGAGAAGACCCUAUGGAGCUUAAAUUUACUAGUCUAAGCAAUCUAAUAACAGAUCCUCCGGGACACAAAACAUAACUUCUAGACUAUAUAUUUUGGUUGGGGUGACCUCGGAGUAAAAAAGAACCUCCGAAUGAUCUUAAUCCAGACAUAACUUGUCUAAAUUCCUACUCAUUAAUUGACCCAAACUUAUUGAUCAACGGAACAAGUUACCCUAGGGAUAACAGCGCAAUUCCACUCAAGAGUUCAUAUCGACAGUGGAGUUUACGACCUCGAUGUUGGAUCAGGACAUCCAAAUGGUGUAACCGCUAUUAAUGGUUCGUUUGUUCAACGAUUAAAGUC
Molecule: ribosomal RNA, 546 nt
Filed under: Glaucomys volans (southern flying squirrel)
Lineage: Eukaryota; Metazoa; Chordata; Mammalia; Rodentia; Sciuridae
Description: partial 16S ribosomal RNA
Rfam family: Bacterial large subunit ribosomal RNA
Source: RNAcentral